RNAcentral lists this ribosomal RNA (264 nucleotides) under uncultured archaeon. Its description in RNAcentral is "partial 16S ribosomal RNA". It matches the Rfam family "Archaeal small subunit ribosomal RNA", at positions 748 to 1009 of the family's 1478-position model. The record is from RNAcentral.
CAGCCGUAAACUAUGCGCGUUAGGUGUAUCGGUGACCACGAGUCACCGAGGUGCCGAAGGGAAACCGUGAAACGUGCCGCCUGGGAAGUACGGUCGCAAGGCUGAAACUUAAAGGAAUUGGCGGGGAGGCACCACAACGGGUGGGAGCCUGCGGUUUAAUUUGGACUCAACGCCGGGAAGCUCACCGGAUAGGACAGCAGAAUGAUUGCCGGGCUGAAGACCCUGCAUGACUAGCUGAGAGGAGGGUGCAUGGCGUAGACGUCU